Diceros bicornis minor is the source of this 117-nucleotide small nucleolar RNA. RefSeq annotates it as small nucleolar RNA SNORD83. The record is from RefSeq and is a predicted model, not a curated record. NCBI's taxonomy places the organism in Eukaryota, Metazoa, Chordata, Mammalia, Perissodactyla, Rhinocerotidae. The transcript has a single exon.
GCCUUGUGAUCUUUUGUCGAAAUGUGAGCAUUUGAAAAAAGCAGCCACUUCUCCCAGUCUUUGCAGACUGGCUCCAUGCAGGGGAAGACCUUCACUAAUCAGCCAGGCUUGAAGGCU